Non-coding RNA from Xyrichtys novacula (pearly razorfish), 5222 nucleotides. Lineage: Eukaryota; Metazoa; Chordata; Actinopteri; Labriformes; Labridae. The record is from the annotation of a GenBank genome assembly.
ACCUGUACGCUUUGGCAAAAUGACACCAAAAUUGAGACACACAUGUAUCUCAAUAAGAUCUACAAAAAAGUCAGUGCGGGCGUAUCUGUCAAAUGUACGGUUAAAGGGUUAUUCCGCAUUUUUUGCCGAUCCGCACACAUUGGAAUUUCGCUAACUCCUCCGAAGGCUUUCGUUCCACCGGCACCACAUUUUCUCAGGCCAAUCUACACCCCAUGGCCAUUAAAAGUUAUUCAAAUCAUGACGCUGCACCCCACGGUUUAGGUUCUAGGGGGCGCCAAAGAUAACCGUAAAAUCCACAUAUUUAAAAGUCUUAUAACUUUUUAUUUUUGUCCCCACUGGCCUCCAAGUUUUCUAGGAUGAUGCAAUGUCCAGCCAUCAACACAUUUGUGAAGGAAUUUUUACUCGCCAAAAGAGCGCCCCCCCAUGGCAGGAGAAAAAAGUCCAUUUUUUCUUGUCCACUAAGGUGAAAAUACACAUUGUUGAGUGCUACACCUGUAUGUUUUGUCGUAUUGACACAAAAUUUUACAUACACGUGUCUUUCAAUAAGAUCUUCGAAAAAGUCAAUGGCCACGUAUCUGUAAAAUGUACGGUUAAAGGGUUAUUUCGCAUUUUUUGCAGAUUUGCACACAUUGGAAUUUCGCUAACUCCUCCGAAGGCUUUCGUUCCACCGGCACCACAUUUUCUCAGGCCAAUCUACACCCAUGGCCAUUAAAAGUUAUUCAAAUCAUGACGCUGCACCCCACGGUUUAGGUUCUAGGGGGCGCCAAAGAUAACCCUAAAAUCCACAUAUUUAAAAGUCUUAUAACUUUUUAUUUUUGUCCUCACUGGCCUCCAUGUUUUCUAGGAUGAUGCAAUGUCCAGCCAUCAACACAUUUGUGAAGGAGUUUUUUCUCGUUAAAAGAGCGCCCCCCCCAUGGCAGGAGAAUAAAGUCAAGUUUUUCCUGUUCAUCAUUCAAUGGCUCAAACGCACUGCUCUCUCGGCAAAAGCGAAAGGAGGAGCAACUUGCCAUUUGGAUAUAUCUUAGCUGUGUUUGUGCCCUCACUCAUGGUCCAGACUUUUUUCAAAUAGGACAUGGAGUUUUUCUGCAGCGAGCGUUUUGGUAGAAACUGCGCCUCCCGUUCAUUAUAAUGGUAAAUGACCACAAACAAGUGCGCACACCAUCUUUGGACCUUGAGUGUGACGCGAUCGGGUGGGGGAGGCGGUCGUGCUGGGGGCGGCGUGACACGGCUCGGGCCCGCCAGUGCCCCAACGGGGCCCUAGUCUUCUUCUUCUUAUUAUUAUUUUUCUGCCCCUUUGAACUGGAAAAUGGCCCACUUCCCACUGGUGAAAACUCAUGAAAUUUGGCAGGACGACCGGGCCUGGUGAAAAAUUCGAUAUUCUGAAGUCACCCAAACAAUCAAAUGCAAAAUGGCUCCAUAGCGCCCCCUAAGGUGAAAAAUUCACAUGAUUGAGUGUCACGCCUGUACGCUUUGUCAAAAUGACACAAAAUUUGACACACACGUGUAUCUCAAUAAGAUCUACAAAAAAGUCAGUGCGGGCGUAUCUGUCAAAUGUAUGUUUAAAGGGCUAUUUCGCAUUUUUUGCCGAUCCGCACACAUUGGAAUUUCGCUAACUCCUCCGAAGGCUUUCGUUCCACCGGCACCAAAUUUGCUCAGGCCAAUCUAACCCCCAUGGCCAUUCAAAGUUGUACAAAUCAUGACGCUGCACCCCACGGUUUACGUUGUAGGGGGCGCCAAAGAUAACCCAAAAAUCCACAUUCUUACAAGUCUUAUAACUUUUUAUUUCUGUCCUCACUGGCCUCCAAGUUUUCUAGGAUGAUGCAAUGUCCAGCCAUCAACACAUUUGUGAAGGAAUUUUUACUCCCCAAAAGAGCGCCCCCCCAUGGCAGGAGAAAAAAGGCCAUUUUUUCUUGUCCUAUAAGGUGAAAAUACACAUUGUUGAGUGUCACGCCUGUACGCUUUGUCAUAUUGAAACAAAAUUUGAUAAUCACGUGUAUCUCAAUAAGAUCUACGAAAAAGUCAAUGCGCACGUGUCUGCAAAAUGUACGGUUAAAGGGCUAUUUCGCAUUUUUGGUUGAUUCGCACACAUUGGAAUGUGGCUAACUCCUCCUAAAGCUUUCGUUCCACCGGCACCAAAUUUGCUCAGGCCAAUCUACACCCCAUGGCCAUUAAAAGUUGUACAAAUCAUGAUGCUGCACCCCACGGUUUACGUUCUAGGGGUCGCCAAAGAUAACCCAAAAAUCCACAUUCUUAAAAGUCUUAUAACUUUUCAUUUUUGUCCUCACUGGCUUCAAAGUUUUCUAGGAUGAUGCAAUGUCCAGCCAUCAACACAUUUGUGAAGGAAUUUUUUCUCCCUAAAAGAGUGCCCCCCCAUGGCAGGAGAAAAAGUCAAGUUUUUCCUGCCCAUCGCUCAAUGGCUCAAACACAUCGCUCUCUCUGGAAAAAACGAAAGGAGGAGGAACUUGCCAUUUGGAUAUAUCCUAGCUGUGUGUGCCCUCACUCAUGGUCCAGACUUUUUUCAAAUAGGACAUGUAGUUUGUCUGCAGCAAGCGUUUUGGUAGAAACUGCGCCUCCCAUUCAUUAUAAUGGUAAAUGACAACAGACAAGUGCGCACACCAUCGUUGAACCUUGAGUGUGACGCGAUCGGGAGGGAGAGGCGGUCGUGUUGGGGGCGGCGUGACACAGCUCGGGCCCGCCAGUGCCCCAACGGGGCCCUAGUUUGUUAUUAUUAUUAUUUUUCCUCCCCUUUGAACUGGAAAAUGGCCCACUUCCCACUGGCGAAAACUCAUGAAAUUUGGCAGGACGACCGGGCCUGGUGAAAAAUUUGAUAUUCCGAAGUCGCCCAAACAAGAAAAUGCAAAAUGGCUCCAUAGCGCCCCCUAAGGUGAAAAUUCACACUAUUGACUGUCACGCCUGUACGCUUUGUCAAAAUGACACAAAAAUUGACACACACAUGUAUCUCAAUAAGAUCUACAAAAAAGUCAGUGCGGGCGUAUCUGUCAAAUGUACGGUUAAAGGGUUAUUUCGCAUUUUUUGCCGAUCCGCACACAUUGGAAUUUCGCUAACUCCUCCGAAGGCUUUCGUUCCACCGGCACCACAUUUGCUCUGGCCAAAUUACACCCCAUGGCCAUUAAAAGUUAUUCAAAUCAUGACGCUGCACCCCACGGUUUACGUUCUAGGGGGCGCCAAAGAUAACCCAAAAAUCCACAUUUUUAAAAGUCUUAUAACUUUUUAUUUUUGUCCUCACUGGCCUCCAAGUUUUCUAGGAUGAUGCAAUGUCCAGCCAUCAACACAUUUGUGAAGGAAUUUUUACUCCCCAAAAGAGCGCCCCCCCAUGGCAGGAGAAAAAGUCAAGUUUUUCCAGCCCAUCGCUUAAUGGCUCAAACGCAUUGCUCUCCCGCUAAAACCAAAAGGAGGAGCAACUUGCCAUUUGGAUAUGUCCUAGCUGUGUUUGUGCCCUCACUCAUGGUCCAGAGUUUUUUCAAAUAGGACAUGUAGUUUGUCUGCAGCGAGCGUUUUGGUAGAAACUGUGCCUCCCAUUCAUUAUAAUGGGAAAUGACCAAAGACAGGUGCGCACACCAUCUUUGGACCUUGACUUUGACGUCACAGUUUGAGAUACAAAUGUUAUUUGACCUCUGACCUUUGGUGGACACCCUAACCUUUCAACCCGCGAAAACGGCGUUUCAAUAGCUCUUACGGCUUUCCUACAAAUACACUUUGUUCAGCUACUCCUACUGUCCUUCAAGCUCUGCUUCUCAGAUCAUCAAAGAGUGUGCACGUGUGUAAUGAGCGCAUAUUGAAUGUUAAUUAUGUUAAAUAUGUUAAUUAUUAGAAGAAAAAACAACAACAGUCCUUUUGGACAAAAUUUCUUUUUAUUACAGAAUUAGAAUAAUGGAAGCAUAGUCCAAGGAAACCAUUCAAGUGAUGUCAUACCUCAUAAUUUAUUGAGAUGUUGGCUAGUCUGGGCAUUUCUUCAUUCAUCAGGUUUCCUGCAUGCAUACUAACAGAGCACAUCAGUAGCAGUGAGUGAUAAGUAUGAGUGUGUCAUUGUGUAAGAAAGAAAGUGGUUUACUUACACAUCCAUAGAAAAUAGGUGGUUGAGCACAGCACGCAAACAAAGCUUUGCCACAACGGUUGAACUUCCCAAGUAGCUGAUACCAAGGUCACACAAUCAGGGUGAGCAAAGGUCAAACCAGGCCAGGCACUCACGAGGCUGGCUGUGGCAAGUGUAAGUGAAAGCAACACGCAAUGGCAGGAAGAACAGCAAACACCAAUGAAGGAAAAGGGUCUUUGCAGUGAUGGGCGUCACCAGAGAGGGCGAUGGCCAGAGGGCACGAAUGGGACGGGGAGGCGGUCGCGCUGGGGGCGGCGCGACGCGGCUCGGGCCCGCCAGUGCCCCAACGGGGCCCUAGUUAUUUUUCCUCCCCUUUGAACUGGAAAAUGGCCCACUUCCCACUGGCGAAAACUCAUGAAAUUUGGCAGGACGACCGGGCCUGGUGAAAAAUUUGAUAUUCUGAAGUCGCCCAAACAAUACAAUGCAAAAUGGCUCCAUAGCGCCCCCUAAGGUGAAAAAUUCACCUGACGCCUGUACGCUUUGUCAAAAUGACACAAAAAUUGACACACACAUGUAUCUCAAUAAGAUCUACAAAAAAGUCAGUGCGGGCGUAUCUGUCAAAUGUAUGGUUAAAGGGUUAUUUCGCAUUUUUUGCCGAUCCGCACACAUUGGAAUUUCGCUAACUCCUCCGAAGGCUUUCGUUCCACCGGCACCACAUUUGCUCAGGCCAAUCUACACCCCAUGGCCAUUAAAAGUUAUUCAAAUCAUGACGCUGCACCCCACGGUUUAUGUUCUAGGGGGCGCAAAAGAUAACCCUAAAAUCCACAUAUUUCAAAGUCUUAUAACUUUUUAUUUUUGCCCUCACUGGCCUCCAAGUUUUCUAGGAUGAUGCAAUGUCCAGCCAUCAACACAUUUGUGAAGGAAUUUUUACUCCCCAAAAGAGCGCCCCCCCAUGGCAGGAGAAAAAAGUCCAUUUUUUCUUGUUCCAUAAGGUGAAAAUUCACACUAUUGACUGUCACGCCUGCACGCUUUGUCAAAAUUACACAAAAAUUGACACACACAUGUAUCUCAAUAAGAUCUACAAAAAAGUCAGUGCGGGCGUAUCUGUCAAAUGUACGGUUAAAGGGUUAUUGCGCAUUUUUUGCCGAUCCGCACACAUUGGAAUUUC